This 427-nucleotide ribosomal RNA is filed under the name uncultured bacterium. RNAcentral's name for it is "bacterial SSU rRNA". It matches the Rfam family "Bacterial small subunit ribosomal RNA", at positions 355 to 799 of the family's 1533-position model. The record is from RNAcentral.
UCGAGAAUCUUUCACAAUGGGCGAAAGCCUGAUGGAGCGACGCCGCGUGGGUGAUGAAGCCCUUCGGAGUGUAAAGCUCUUUCGACAGGAACGAUAAUGACGGUACCUGGAGAAGAAGCUGCGGCUAACUACGUGCCAGCAGCCGCGGUAAUACAGGGGAUACAAGCGUUACUCGGAAUCACUGGGCGUAAAGCGUCUGUAGGUGCCCAACUAAGUCUGCGGUAAAAGCUCGGGGCUCAACCCCGAGAGCGUCGCGGAAACUAGUAGGGUGGAGCAGUAGAGAGGCAUCUGGAAUGUCGCAUGUAGGAGUAAAAUCCGUAGAGAUGCGAUGGAACGCCAAAAGCGAAGGCAGGAUGCUAGCUACUUGCUGACACUGAGAGACGAAAGCGUGGGGAGCGAAGGGGAUUAGAUACCCCCGUAGUCCCUG